Molecule: long non-coding RNA, 614 nt
Organism: Erigeron canadensis
Lineage: Eukaryota; Viridiplantae; Streptophyta; Magnoliopsida; Asterales; Asteraceae
Exons: 3
Source: RefSeq, a predicted model, not a curated record
AGCCGAGACUAGAGGGAUUAGGGGUGUAAAUACCCGUAUGUUUGUGAGAUAAAUAUAAGUUAAGCUGAUUUAUGUAUGUUUAACACUAAUCAAACACACAUACACGUCAAAAGCUCUAUUCUAGUUUCCCUCCAAUGAAGGAAAGCUCACAUAGGAGCACUUGAAGCUAGAAUCUAGUUGAUUUCAACCUCUUUUCAUCAGUUUCAAGUAAUUUCCAUAUAGUUAUAUCAUCAAUAAUCCAAAGGUGCUAGGAGUUUGGAGGUGCUCGUCUAUAUAUAUAUUCGAUCCUAAAACGGACAGGUGCCGGGAGCUCAGGUGGAAGUGGGUCGGGGAAAGAAUUUAAGGAGCGUGGAUAAGUACUACUGUAGGCUGCACUUCUUUCCCUAAAUCACAGCUGUGUGUAUGAUACUUAUGUGUAGUUACGCCCUGUUUCAACUUUAAAGCAUAAUAUGACGUUUGGACUCCUUUUGGUAAACUAGUCAUGUUGUCGUCUUUGGGUCAAAAUAGGUGGUGUGUAGGAGAGCAGGAAUAACUUUGUAAUUUCUGCAAAUUUUGGUGUAAAUACUAAGCUAAUCGGUUAUAUAAAAUUAAAGUCCUUUAUCUAUUUUGGUUAA